RNAcentral lists this ribosomal RNA (272 nucleotides) under uncultured bacterium. RNAcentral's name for it is "partial small subunit ribosomal RNA". It matches the Rfam family "Bacterial small subunit ribosomal RNA", at positions 26 to 285 of the family's 1533-position model. The record is from RNAcentral.
AGAAUCAACGCUGGCGGCGUGCCUAACACAUGCAAGUCGAACGCGAAAGUGGAGCAAUCCAUGAGUAGAGUGGCAAACGGGUGAGUAACGCGUGGGCGACCUACCUCUGAGUGGGGGAUAACCUUCCGAAAGGAGGGCUAAUACCGCAUGACAUCCCAGUUUUAGAUAGCUGGACAUCAAAGCCGGGGAUCGCAAGACCUGGCGCUUGGAGAGGGGCCCGCGUCCGAUUAGCUAGUUGGUGAGGUAACGGCUCACCAAGGCUCCGAUCGGUA